GCCUGAGUGACUGAGCGAGAAGCCAAUGGCAGAUCUGCUCUUGGGGCGUGACCAAUCCGUAUAGCCGAGGAGAGCCAGAGCCAAUCCGAGGAAGAAGCUAGCUUUAUGGGGCGGUGCCAAAGUGAUGCGAGGUCCAGACCCAACAGCCUUGUGCAUCAUCUGGGGUGAAAUUUAGUGCAUCAGCUCAAAGCCUGAGUAACUGGGCCUUGCCUUAUCUGUGCACUUUAGCCGGUAUGAGCAUCCACUGAGAACUGAACUGAGACCAUCAACCCAUUUCACAGGCCGGUAGGCCUUUGGCAAACUUUGCCCCUGAAAGGAGGAUUCCCUAUUUCCAGGGAGUUCUUACGAAACAAGUGACUUCUCUGAAUAUAAUCCAGAAAUAGACAAGGAGUUAAGGACAAAGAAGAAAGACAAGUUCUUGUCCCCAUGAAGCCCAGGAAGUUUAUGGAGGAGUCUAGGGCUCAGCUGCAGAUGUUAAAAUGUACCAGCUCUUGAUCUAAUCAUAACUGUAAUAACCUGAAUUCACAGGAGGCUUUGUUGUUUAUAUUGUGGAUAAAGUAUUGUCUUUGAUGCAGGGGGACACACAUAUGAAAACAUGACCAACAGCUAGUCCAGCAGAAAAAUAAACCAGCUCAUUGUAACUCACCUUCUUCAUUUUUCCAUGUCUCUCUGCUCUGAGCUGUAUCACAAUGUGCCUAAUUGAUACAAAGCAUUUCAAAUUAGAAAUAGAUCAAA
Molecule: long non-coding RNA, 735 nt
Organism: Mauremys reevesii (Reeves's turtle)
Lineage: Eukaryota; Metazoa; Chordata; Testudines; Geoemydidae
Exons: 3
Source: RefSeq, a predicted model, not a curated record